AAGUCGUAACAAGGUUUCCGUAGGUGAACCUGCGGAAGGAUCAUUACAGAGUUCAUGCCCUAUGGGUAGAUCUCCCACCCUUGUGUAUUUAUACCAUGUUGCUUUGGCGGGCCGUCAGGCUUCGGCCUGCUCGCGGCUUCGGCUGUGGAGCGCCUGCCAGAGGACCCUAAACUCUUGUUAUCAGUGUCGUCUGAGUACUAUAUAAUAGUUAAAA
Molecule: unclassified non-coding RNA, 214 nt
Filed under: plant metagenome
Description: partial contains small subunit ribosomal RNA and internal transcribed spacer 1
Rfam family: Eukaryotic small subunit ribosomal RNA (bases 1-46)
Source: RNAcentral